Molecule: small nuclear RNA, 328 nt
Filed under: Salvator merianae (Argentine black and white tegu)
Lineage: Eukaryota; Metazoa; Chordata; Lepidosauria; Squamata; Teiidae
Description: 7SK RNA (ENSSMRG00000016605.1)
Rfam family: 7SK RNA
About the family: 7SK was discovered as an abundant small nuclear RNA in the mid-70s but a possible function has only recently been suggested. Two independent studies have found that 7SK RNA binds the CDK9/cyclin T complex (known as elongation factor P-TEFb).
Source: RNAcentral
GUAAGCCGCUUUGAGUCUGACAUCUGUUACUGAAUUGAUUGCCAGUGUGGAUCUCACUGAUCUGGCUGGUUAGGCAAGUGCCUUUCUCUCCAUUUCAUGCAUGUCCUUCCUGAAGCUGUACAUCUGGUGGAAGAAGACAACCAACCCAGACAGAAGGAGUGUACCAUUCUUUGGUCAAAGCUAUACAAUAGUUGUGUUCCCCUUCUAGAACAUCCAAACUUUAUCCAAACUUCAAUCCCCUUUAUGGAUUGAAAUGUCCUCCAGUAUUCCAAGCAUCUCUGUCCUAAACCCUGCAGAGCAACUUUUGACAAUGUAGCUGUUACUAAAC